RNAcentral lists this ribosomal RNA (478 nucleotides) under uncultured bacterium. Its description in RNAcentral is "partial 16S ribosomal RNA". It matches the Rfam family "Bacterial small subunit ribosomal RNA", at positions 28 to 507 of the family's 1533-position model. The record is from RNAcentral.
GAUGAACGCUGGCGGCGUGCUUAACACAUGCAAGUCGAACGAGAAGUGAAGACGGAACCCUUCGGGCGGAAGGCUUUAUUUCGAGUGGCGGACGGGUGAGUAACGCGUGGGUAACCUGCCUCAUACAGGGGGAUAACAGUUGGAAACGACUGUUAAUACCGCAUAAGACCACAGCACCGCAUGGUGCGGGGGUAAAAACUCCGGUGGUAUGAGAUGGUCCCGCGUUCGAUUAGCCAGUUGGCGGGGUAACGGCCCACCAAAGCGACGAUCGAUAGCCGAUCUGAGAGGAUGACCGGCCACAUUGGGACUGAGACACGGCCCAAACUCCUACGGGAGGCAGCAGUGGGGAAUAUUGCACAAUGGGGGAAACCCUGAUGCAGCGACGCCGCGUGAGUGAAGAAGUAUUUCGGUAUGUAAAGCUCUAUCAGCAGGGAAGAAAAUGACGGUACCUGAGUAAGAAGCCCCGGCUAACUACGUG